Mastomys coucha (southern multimammate mouse) is the source of this 513-nucleotide long non-coding RNA. RefSeq lists it as uncharacterized. The record is from RefSeq and is a predicted model, not a curated record. NCBI's taxonomy places the organism in Eukaryota, Metazoa, Chordata, Mammalia, Rodentia, Muridae. The transcript has 2 exons.
AAAUUCCACACAGAUGGACCUUCCAGUGCUGCUGGUCAUAAACUCCAUGAUCACUACCUCUGAGCCACACAGUGCUUGUUCUGCAUAUCUUCUUCAAGACAGCAUGAAGCUGCAGUAUUAGCAUCAAAUUCAAGUGCUGCUGAAAAGCAUCGAUCCUCUGAGCAUGUUCAGGAUGGGAGGUCACAAAGGGAUCACAGAAAAGAACUGUCUGGCAGAUCCAUUACAUCACCCAUUGGAACACAGAAAGUAGGGCUGGAACACAAGUCUGAGGCUUCUCUUUCCAGAAAUGGCCCCAAGAAGUCAAGGUUUUCAUCAUGGACACUGGUAGAUGCUUUGAGAUCCUGACAGGGGGUCCCAGGAGUGACCAUCAGGUAGAUCAAAUAAUUCAGAUACAAGAAACAGAGUAGAGCCAGGCAAAGUCACCUGGACAUAAAAGUCAAGAGUUGACUGCAGCCAUAUUGAAGUUGUUUAAAAAUCUAAAGAAAUAAAGUGUUCCUAGGAAGAUGAAUGCAA